RNAcentral lists this ribosomal RNA (195 nucleotides) under uncultured Actinomycetales bacterium. RNAcentral describes it as "partial 16S ribosomal RNA". It matches the Rfam family "Bacterial small subunit ribosomal RNA", at positions 136 to 334 of the family's 1533-position model. Lineage: Bacteria; Bacillati; Actinomycetota; Actinomycetes; Actinomycetales. The record is from RNAcentral.
GUUCGGGAUAAGCCUGGGAAACUGGGUCUAAUACCGGAUAGGAGCCAUUUUUAGUGUGAUGGUUGGAAAGUUUUUUCGGUGUAGGAUGAGCUCGCGGCCUAUCAGCUUGUUGGUGGGGUAAUGGCCUACCAAGGCGGCGACGGGUAGCCGGCCUGAUAGGAUGGACGGCCACAUUGGGACUGAGAUACGGCCCAG